Molecule: RNase P RNA, 323 nt
Filed under: bovine gut metagenome
Description: Bacterial RNase P class A
Rfam family: Bacterial RNase P class A
About the family: Ribonuclease P (RNase P) is a ubiquitous endoribonuclease, found in archaea, bacteria and eukarya as well as chloroplasts and mitochondria. Its best characterised activity is the generation of mature 5'-ends of tRNAs by cleaving the 5'-leader elements of precursor-tRNAs.
Source: RNAcentral
GUAAAUCAGACGGUUGCGGGCAUAGAAAUAUGCGUGAGGAAAGUCCGGGCUUCAUAGAGCAGGGUGCCGGCUAACGACCGGUGAAGGCGACUUCAAGGAUAGUGCAACAGAAAAUAAACGCCGAAAUUUUUCGGUAAGUGUGGAAAUGUGAGGUAAGAGCUCACAGGGAAGAUGGUAACUGAAUUCCCGUGUAAACCCCACCUGAAGCAACAUCGACAGUGCAGUAAAGCUUGCUCGGCAUUGCACGACUGAUGGCAGGAACAAAAGGGUAACCUUUUGUCACAGACAGAUAACCGUCCACGACAGAACCCGGCUUACGGUUU